This 484-nucleotide ribosomal RNA is filed under the name uncultured bacterium. RNAcentral's name for it is "partial 16S ribosomal RNA". It matches the Rfam family "Bacterial small subunit ribosomal RNA", at positions 28 to 507 of the family's 1533-position model. The record is from RNAcentral.
AUUGAACGCUGGCGGCAUGCUUUACACAUGCAAGUCGAACGGCAGCGCGGGCUUCGGCCUGGCGGCGCGUGGCGAACGGGUGGGUAAUGCAUCGGAACGUGCCCAGUAGUGGGGGAUAGCCCGGCUAAAGCCGGCUUAAUACCGCAUACGCCCUGAGGGUGAAAGCGGGGGACCGAAAGGCCUCGCGCUUUUGGAGCGGCCGAUGUCGGAUUAGCUAGUUGGUUGGGUAAAGGCUUACCAAGGCGACGAUCCGUAGCUGGUCUGAGAGGCCGACCAGCCACACUGGAACUGAGACACGGCCCAGACUCCUACGGGAGGCAGCAGUGGGGAAUUUUGGACAAUGGGGGCAAGCCUGAUCCAGCCACGCCGCGUGAGGGAAGAAGGCCUUCGGGUUGUAAACCGCUUUUGUUCGGGAAGAAAACCUGUGUGCUAAUACCCCGGGGGGAUGACGGUACCGGAAGAAUAAGCACCGGCUAACUACGUG